GUUCUGCGUGAGGGCUCUGGGUCCAACCUCCCACCCGUGUUUAUUGUACCUUGUUGCUUCGGUGCGCCCGCCUCACGGCCGCCGGGGGGCUUCUGCCCCCGGGCCCGCGCCCACCGAAGACACCAUUGAACUCUGUCUGAAGAUUGCAGUCUGAGCAUAAACUAAAUAAGUUAAAACUUUCAACAACGGAUCUCUUGGUUCCGGCAUCGAUGAAGAACGCAGCGAAAUGCGAUAACUAAUGUGAAUUGCAGAAUUCAGUGAAUCAUCGAGUCUUUGAACGCACAUUGCGCCCCCUGGUAUUCCGGGGGGCAUGCCUGUCCGAGCGUCAUUGCUGCCCUCAAGCACGGCUUGUGUGUUGGGCUCCGUCCCCCCGGGGACGGGCCCGAAAGGCAGCGGCGGCACCGAGUCCGGUCCUCGAGCGUAUGGGGCUUUGUCACCCGCUCUGUAGGCCCGGCCGGCGCCAGCCGACAACCCAUCAUCCUUUUCAGGUUGACCUCGGAUCAGGUAGGGAUACCCGCUGAACUUAAGCAUAUCAAAAGCCCGAAGGAA
This 549-nucleotide ribosomal RNA is filed under the name Penicillium montanense. RNAcentral's name for it is "eukaryotic LSU rRNA". The stretch from base 175 to 328 matches the Rfam family "5.8S ribosomal RNA". Lineage: Eukaryota; Fungi; Ascomycota; Eurotiomycetes; Eurotiales; Aspergillaceae. The record is from RNAcentral.